GAUGAACGCUGGCGGCGUGCCUAAUACAUGCAAGUCGAGCGAACAGACGAGGAGCUUGCUCCUCUGACGUUAGCGGCGGACGGGUGAGUAACACGUGGAUAACCUACCUAUAAGACUGGGAUAACUUCGGGAAACCGGCGCUAAUACCGGAUAAUAUAUUGAACCGCAUGGUUCAAUAGUGAAAGACGGUUUUGCUGUCACUUAUAGAUGGAUCCGCGCCGCAUUAGCUAGUUGGUAAGGUAACGGCUUACCAAGGCAACGAUGCGUAGCCGACCUGAGAGGGUGAUCGGCCACACUGGAGCUGAGACACGGUCCAGACUCCUGCGAGAGGCAGCAGUAGGGAAUGUUCCGCAAUGGGCGAAAGCCUGACGGAGCAACGCCGCGUGAGUGAUGAAGGUCUUCGGAUCGUAAAACUCUGUUAUUAGGGAAGAACAAAUGUGUAAGUAACUAUGCACGUCUUGACGGUACCUAAUCAGAAAGCCACGGCUAACUACGUG
RNAcentral lists this ribosomal RNA (497 nucleotides) under uncultured bacterium. RNAcentral describes it as "partial 16S ribosomal RNA". It matches the Rfam family "Bacterial small subunit ribosomal RNA", at positions 28 to 507 of the family's 1533-position model. The record is from RNAcentral.